Molecule: long non-coding RNA, 322 nt
Filed under: Homo sapiens (human)
Lineage: Eukaryota; Metazoa; Chordata; Mammalia; Primates; Hominidae
Description: HSALNT0166517
Source: RNAcentral
AUGCCCAGGAACGCGCAGGAGCCAUCAGAAAGGUCUCUGCAGAGGGCUCUAAAGAAAUUCUUUGUUCCUUAAGAUCUUGGCAUUUUAGCACUAGGACAGUGAGAAGUGGUAAUUUACUCAAUCCCUGAGGCUAUGUUAUCCUGAACAAGUAAAUAAAGGGCUGAGGAAAGAGGUAGCAUCACUGACAAUAAACAAGCUGCUGAUCGUCAAACAGAGGAAUUUGCCAACAGACAUCUGGGUAGCACAAAGGCCAAGGAAGGACUGAAGGAACGAACUCUCACCCAAGAACCCAGAUGCCAUGUUGUAAGGAAGCCCAGACCAC